This 429-nucleotide ribosomal RNA is filed under the name Chloroflexota bacterium. Its description in RNAcentral is "Chloroflexi bacterium partial 16S ribosomal RNA". It matches the Rfam family "Bacterial small subunit ribosomal RNA", at positions 355 to 776 of the family's 1533-position model. The record is from RNAcentral. Lineage: Bacteria; Bacillati; Chloroflexota.
UGGGGAAUAUUGCACAAUGGGCGCAAGCCUGAUGCAGCCAUGCCGCGUGUGUGAAGAAGGCCUUCGGGUUGUAAAGCACUUUCAGCGGGGAGGAAGGCGUUAAGGUUAAUAACCUUGGCGAUUGACGUUACCCGCAGAAGAAGCACCGGCUAACUCCGUGCCAGCAGCCGCGGUAAUACGGUGGGUGCAAGCGUUAAUCGGAAUUACUGGGCGUAAAGCGCACGCAGGCGGUCUGUCAAGUCGGAUGUAAAAUCCCCGGGUUCAACCUGGGAACUGCAUUCGAAGCUGGCAGGCUAGAGUCUUGUAGAGGGGGGUAGAAUUCCAGGUGUAGCGGUGAAAUGCGUAGAGAUCUGGAGGAAUACCGGUGGCGAAGGCAGCCCCCUAGACAAAGACUGACGCUAAGGUGCGAAAGCGUGGGGAGCAAACAGG